RNAcentral lists this ribosomal RNA (399 nucleotides) under uncultured bacterium. Its description in RNAcentral is "bacterial SSU rRNA". It matches the Rfam family "Bacterial small subunit ribosomal RNA", at positions 104 to 499 of the family's 1533-position model. The record is from RNAcentral.
GGGUGAGUAAUAUAUCGGAACGUACCCGGCAAUGGGGGAUAGCUCGGCGAAAGCCGGAUUAAUACCGCAUAUGCCCUGAGGGGGAAAGUGGGGGACCGUAAGGCCUCACGUUGUCGGAGCGGCCGAUAUCAGAUUAGCUAGUUGGUGGGGUAAAGGCCUACCAAGGCGACGAUCUGUAGCGGGUCUGAGAGGAUGAUCCGCCACACUGGGACUGAGACACGGCCCAGACUCCUACGGGAGGCAGCAGUGGGGAAUUUUGGACAAUGGGGGAAACCCUGAUCCAGCCAUGCCGCGUGAGUGAAGAAGGCCUUCGGGUUGUAAAGCUCUUUCGGGCGGAAAGAAAUCCUAUUCACUAAUACUGAGUGGGGAUGACGGUACCGUAAGAAGAAGCACCGGCUA